RNAcentral lists this transfer RNA (77 nucleotides) under Dethiosulfovibrio peptidovorans DSM 11002. Its description in RNAcentral is "tRNA-Ile". It matches the Rfam family "tRNA". Rfam says of the family: Transfer RNA (tRNA) molecules are approximately 80 nucleotides in length. Their secondary structure includes four short double-helical elements and three loops (D, anti-codon, and T loops). Further hydrogen bonds mediate the characteristic L-shaped molecular structure. tRNAs have two regions of fundamental functional importance: the anti-codon, which is responsible for specific mRNA codon recognition, and the 3' end, to which the tRNAs corresponding amino acid is attached (by aminoacyl-tRNA synthetases). tRNAs cope with the degeneracy of the genetic code in two manners: having more than one tRNA (with a specific anti-codon) for a particular amino acid; and 'wobble' base-pairing, i.e. permitting non-standard base-pairing at the 3rd anti-codon position. Lineage: Bacteria; Thermotogati; Synergistota; Synergistia; Synergistales; Dethiosulfovibrionaceae. The record is from RNAcentral.
GGGCCGGUAGCUCAGGCGGCUAGAGCACUCGGCUGAUAACCGAGAGGUCAGUGGUUCAAGUCCACUUCGGCCCACCA